AGUCGGCAAAGGAUGAAUCUCAUUAACAAAUGGGUAAUUUGCGUCUGAAUUGUUCUCAUGAUGCUAAAUCACCUUGGAGAACUGAUGCCUUCU
Molecule: small nucleolar RNA, 93 nt
Organism: Diospyros lotus (date-plum)
Lineage: Eukaryota; Viridiplantae; Streptophyta; Magnoliopsida; Ericales; Ebenaceae
Source: RefSeq, a predicted model, not a curated record